CGAACGCUGGCGGCGUGCUUACCACAUGCACGUCGACCGGAAAGGCCCUGCUUGCAGGGUACUCGAGUGGCGCACGGGUGAGUAACACGUGGGUGAUCUGCCCUGCACUUCGGGAUAAGCCUGGGAAACUGGGUCUAAUACCGGAUAGGAGCCAUUUUUAGUGUGAUGGUUGGAAAGUUUUUUCGGUGUAGGAUGAGCUCGCGGCCUAUCAGCUUGUUGGUGGGGUAAUGGCCUACCAAGGCGGCGACGGGUAGCCGGCCUGAGAGGGUGGACGGCCACAUUGGGACUGAGAUACGGCCCAGACUCCUACGGGAGGCAGCAGUGGGGAAUAUUGCACAAUGGGCGCAAGCCUGAUGCAGCGACGCCGCGUGGGGGAUGACGGCCUUCGGGUUGUAAACUCCUUUCGCUAGGGACGAAGCUUUUUGUGACGGUACCUAGAUAAGAAGCACCGGCUAACUACGUG
Molecule: ribosomal RNA, 463 nt
Filed under: uncultured bacterium
Lineage: Bacteria
Description: partial 16S ribosomal RNA
Rfam family: Bacterial small subunit ribosomal RNA
Source: RNAcentral